AAACCAGAUAUGACUUAGUGGCGGACGGGUGAGUAACACGUGAGCAACCUGCCUUUCAGAGGGGGAUAACUUCUGGAAACGGAUGCUAAAACCGGAUAGGUAGCAGACAAGCAUUUGACUGCUAUUAAAGUGGCUUUGGCCAUGAACAUGGAUGGACCUGCGGUGCAUUAGCUAGUUGGUGAGGUAACGGCCCACCAAGGCGACGAUGCAUAGCCGGCCUGAGAGGGCGGACGGCCACAUUGGGACUGAGACACGGCCCAAACUCC
Molecule: ribosomal RNA, 266 nt
Filed under: uncultured bacterium
Lineage: Bacteria
Description: partial 16S ribosomal RNA
Rfam family: Bacterial small subunit ribosomal RNA
Source: RNAcentral